This is a long non-coding RNA of Brienomyrus brachyistius, 566 nucleotides long. RefSeq lists it as uncharacterized. The transcript has 4 exons. NCBI's taxonomy places the organism in Eukaryota, Metazoa, Chordata, Actinopteri, Osteoglossiformes, Mormyridae. The record is from RefSeq and is a predicted model, not a curated record.
UCCACACUGUAAACUGGAGUUACUGAGGUCAGUCUGACUGGGUAUUCCACACUGUAAACUGGAGAUACUGAGGUCAGUCUGACUGGGUAUUCCACACUGUAAACUGGAGUUACUGAGGUCAGUCUGACUGGGUAUUCCACACUGUAAACUGGAGUUACUGAGGUCAGUCUGACUGGGUAUUCCACACUGUAAACUGGAGAUACUGAGGUCAGUCUUACUGGAUAUUCCACACUGUAAACUGUGGGUAGUGAGGUGAGUAUUACUGGGUAUUUCACACUGUACGCUGGAGAUAGGUGGAACAUAGCUAGUGAUUUCAAAAUAAAGCAGGAGUAUCUAAGUCUACAGGUUGACUAAAAAAAUAACAUUAGACUCGCUACAGUAAGUGGAAUGUCAGAAUGAAGAUUGCAUUGGAGGUUAAGGAUGACAUUAAAAGUUUCUUCCAAUAUUUUAACUGCAAAAGAGCUCUAAAAGCUGAAAUCACUCAUCUGUAGGAUAGUAAGGGCCUUAUAAUUGAAAAUGAAAAUUAAUAUAAUAAAUGAGUUUAAAAUCUUGGGGACAACGUGUGG